Molecule: ribosomal RNA, 273 nt
Filed under: uncultured prokaryote
Description: partial 16S ribosomal RNA
Rfam family: Bacterial small subunit ribosomal RNA
Source: RNAcentral
UACGUAGGGGGCAAGCGUUGUCCGGAAUUAUUGGGCGUAAAGAGUGUGUAGGCGGCUUGGUAAGUCUGCUCUGAAAGCCAGGGGCUCAACCCCUGGAGGCGGGUGGAUACUGUCAAGCUUGAGUCCGGAAGAGGCGAGUGGAAUUCCCGGUGUAGCGGUGAAAUGCGCAGAUAUCGGGAGGAACACCAAUGGCGAAGGCAGCUCGCUGGGACGUGACUGACGCUGAGACACGAAAGCGUGGGGAGCAAACAGGAUUAGAAACCCGAGUAGUCC